ACAGAGGGGGCAAGCGUUGUUCGGAAUUACUGGGCGUAAAGGGCGCGUAGGCGGCCUUCUAAGUCGAACGUGAAAUCCCCGGGCUCAACCCGGGAACUGCGUCCGAUACUGGAAGGCUUGAAUUCGGGAGAGGGAUGCGGAAUUCCAGGUGUAGCGGUGAAAUGCGUAGAUAUCUGGAGGAAGACCGGUGGCGAAGGCGGUCUGCUGGGCAGUUUCUGACACUGAUGCGCGACAGCGUGGGGAGCAAACAGGA
RNAcentral lists this ribosomal RNA (253 nucleotides) under uncultured prokaryote. RNAcentral describes it as "partial 16S ribosomal RNA". It matches the Rfam family "Bacterial small subunit ribosomal RNA", at positions 525 to 777 of the family's 1533-position model. The record is from RNAcentral.